This is a long non-coding RNA of Cyprinus carpio (common carp), 3664 nucleotides long. Lineage: Eukaryota; Metazoa; Chordata; Actinopteri; Cypriniformes; Cyprinidae. The record is from Ensembl.
CAUAGUGUUCUUUUAAUAGUCUCUCUGAUUUCCUUUCUUCGUAUGACAUCAUCUUUCUGUCCAGCGCUGGUCCAGUAGCUCAAAUCCAUCGGUAAAGCAUGGCUUUGUUACAAAAACAGUGAAAAACACUUUUUGUGCUGAGUAACACAUUCCAAGCAAGCAGCCUUUGUGUGUGUGUGUGUGUGUGUGUGUGUGUGUGUGUGUGUGUGUGUGUGUGUGGGUGUGUGUGUUACAAACACACAGUCUGCGGUGGAGGCUGUUUACAUAUGGGCAAGAUUCUCAGCAGGAUUCGGUGCAGAACUAUUAAUUAAAUUUUUGUUUGUGAUGUUGAGCGGUCAGACUGAUGGGCGGAGUCUUGCGAUGGCCACGCCUCUCUUCAAAAACACAGCCACACUUCACUUAAAGCUCUCUGCCUCCACUGUGCUGAUCACUUCAUGGUAAGCUUGCAUUGUGUCUUUCAUUUUCAUGACUAAUAUCAACAGUGGAUUAAUGGUUUUACUCAGUUUUGCCUUUUGAAAUUUGAGAUGCUUUCACCUUGAGGUAAAGUUAAUGUAAAAAAAAAAAAGUACUGUAUGAAAUAAUUAAUUCGGCUAUGAUUCUUCACUGCUACUAAAACAAAAGCAAUAAGUGUGUUUAUGACCGGUUAAAGGAUUACAAGAUGGAUUUCUUGACUUGUGGAGAGAAGGACCCACUGUAUGCCAAAUACAGCACUUUUCCCGGAUGGCAUUCUUCACACAUAUAUCAGCACAAACCUUCUACAACCACUUACCUGCAACACCUGUCGGAGUACAUUGACUCAACUGGUGAGCCAAAAACUUGGGUGGCAUCAGGUACCAGAACUACCCGGGAUAUUUAUGACUUUAACAAGCAGACUGAAAUCGCAAAUUUUCAUUCACACACCAAGUUAUCUCACAGAGAAUUAACUGAUUACAUUGGGGAAGUGAGAAAUCCUGUACCAAUACAAAAACAGAGAUCAGAUGAGGGGAGGUAUGCAGAAAGAGACUCAUAUGCACAGCACAAAGGGUGGGAAAACACAUGGCCAUUAAACUACAGAGAAAUAAGAGAAAACUUUGGAACAGACAGUCAUAAUGAGAUGCAAGCUUAUGCCGACUGCUAUCAUCAUACGCUUUCCAAAAAACCACCUCGCUUUGAGGUUGGGGAGUGGAGGUCAUCUAGGUGUGCUUCAGACAUGGAGAAGGUGUUGGGAUAUGGCCAGUGGACUGCUAGUCCAGACACAACUGAACAAUUCCAGCCAAAUGCUUUAACGUCACAGAAAAAAGACAUAACUGAGCUCAUUGGGGAACAUCGGUGGAAAAGGAGCCCUUGGAAUUUGAGAAAUACAGAGAGUGUUUUCCCAGUAGGAUCUUUCAGACAGCCUCCAUCCUACAUGGCACCACCAGCAUACAGCUCCCCGAAGAAUGGUGACAAGAUAGCAGCAAUACCAAAAGUUACUGCAGAGGCAAGUGUGGAAGCAUUUGAGGAGCAGACAUUUGAGAGCAGAAAAGUACCCUUUACAGAUUUGACAGAAACACAUUGUGAUCCUUCAUCAAACAAUGGACAUUAUUUAGAAAAAAAUAACCAGAAACAGAACACAGAGAGUUACCAUAGUGUUAUCACCGGUGGACAACACUGUCUAGAAGCCUUAAAUGCAUCCACUGUCAUGCAGUACACAACAAUAAACACAAAACCACCUUCAACUCAAGCACAGCUUCAGUACAGAGAGUCUCCACACAUGACCCAACCUGAUAUUACUCAGACGAAGCAGACCAAACUCACGAGAAGAAAGGGUGGUGAGACUGUGUUUUGUCUAGUCUCUCGAAUGGGAGAGGUGUCAGGCUUGUCAAGUUCUCCAGAGGAGCCACUUAAAUCCCACGUGUUACCCCUGUUAACUGAUUGCAAACCCGAUUACAAGCCAAUCACCACCGAGCAGACAAAUUCACCUCAGCACAAUGAUGUCAACAGAGAAAAUCAGGAUGCAGGCUUGAAGAAGGACGAAGCUGUUGGGCAGCUCGACGGAUCCUUAAUGUUUGGAGAGUAUGGUCACACACCCCUAGAUCAAAGAUCCAGUUCUAUCCAGGAUCUGGGUAGUGCAAUAGAACCAGAUGAAGAAAAAGAAGAGUUGCAAUGUUAUGUCCAAGGGAACGACUCAGAGUCAAACUGUUUAGCCCAGAAGUCACCAAUGCAGACACAUGGACAUGAGAAACCAUGCAGGGAAAUCAUAGAGAAAUUCCCAUUGUGGAAAGAGCCAAAACAUCAGCAUCACUCAACAGGGAUGACAGAGCAAAAAAGCCAGGGGAUAAAUGAUGAGUCUAAAGUUAGCAACGACUCAACAAACGACCAGCAGAGUCUUGUGGUCAUUGACGCAACCUGUGUUGUUGUCAAGGUUGAGCUUGUACUUCUUCCAGAGAAGGAGCAUGUCCAGUAUGUGUGUUUGACAGAUGAGAGUCCUUCGCCAAGUACUAGAGAGGAGACCGAGGUGCAGAAGCAGCACAGCAGUGUCGUCUCAAGCCAGGAGACUCCUGAAAACAAUACUUUGGAAGAGAGAGUAGAAAUUAUUCUUGGAAUUCCACAUGAGCAUCCCAGGACAAGUGUACAGACACACGAGAGCAUUUCAGAAGAACAUGACAGCUCCUGUGAAAGUCACAUCGUGGAUCCAGUAAAAGAGUUUGAGGAAUCUCCAUCUGCAGCUGCAACUGUUGAUGACUGGCAAGCGCAGGAAAAUAAACUGAUGGUGGAACAUUCCUGGAGUGGGACAACAUUGGAGAAUAAUGAAGGCGUAGAGGAAGUGCUCAGCAUAAUGGAAGUGGAAAAGCAAACCACUGCACAAGAACCCGAAGCUGUUCUCAAAGACUUUGUGGCUUUCACAAAUGCAAAAUCCACAUCUGAAAUCCAACCUGAAAAGACAACCAUAGAUAUGAAUCAAUCCACAGAACAAGGACAUAGACCUGCGUUGGACGACAGUGUGGUUGAGCACAGUACACAGAAAGAUAAUGAGAACCAUCAAACAGAUACUACUAUGGACCAUACAGAGGAUAGUUCAACAGAAGACAACCUCUCAGAUGAUAAGCGAGUACUUGCUUCAGAUUUCUUUACACCUGUCCUUAGGAAAAGUGCAGAAAAUUGCGUCAAAGUUGUUUUACCUUCACCUGUGGGUUCCAGGACUCUCAGAAGGUCAAGCUCUUCACCUCAUUUGUCAUUUACCUCAGCUUCCAACACCUUGGAAGUAACAAAUGUAUCAGCUACUCCUGUGGUUUCUCACGCAGAGAAUGAGCCACUGUUGCUUCCAUCUGUUACCAACACAGAAACCACCCAGUCCUCAGGUUCUCCCAGUGUUCAGUCAAGCUGUACAUCCUCACUCCCCGCUCCUUCUUCUACUCCAGUUCCAGAAGCUUUUGAAAAUCCAUCUCUCCCACAGACAAGAAAUACUCCUUCUGAUGAUUUACUCUGUACUUCAUUGCCCUGUGAGCAAAAAAUACAACAUGCCAAGUCUCUGUGGGACGCGGUAAGUCGUAUACGCAAACACACUGCUCCUGACUCUGAGACAGAGGAAGAGGAGACGGUUGAGUUUGGGGAACAAACUGAAAGUGCAGACACUGACUUGCUUUAUCAGAGACUGAACACAAAAGAAGGAGAAGAAUUGGAGGAUAAUACUUUAGAGAACUGA